This 253-nucleotide ribosomal RNA is filed under the name uncultured bacterium. RNAcentral describes it as "partial 16S ribosomal RNA". It matches the Rfam family "Bacterial small subunit ribosomal RNA", at positions 524 to 776 of the family's 1533-position model. The record is from RNAcentral.
UACGGAGGGGGCUAGCGCUGUUCGGAAUUACUUGGCGUAAAGCGCACGUAGGCGGAUCAGAAAGCCAGAGGUGAAAUCCCCGCGCUCACCCUUGGAACUGCCUUUGACACUCCUGAUCUUGAGGUCGAGAGAGGUGAGUGGAAUUCCGAGUGUAGAGGUGAUAUUCGUAGAUAUUCGGAGGAACACCAGUGGCGAAGGCUGGUCUCUGUCUCGAUACUGACGCUGAGGUGCGAGAGCGUGGGGACCUAACAGG